This is a long non-coding RNA of Monodelphis domestica (gray short-tailed opossum), 4220 nucleotides long. RefSeq lists it as uncharacterized. The record is from RefSeq and is a predicted model, not a curated record. Lineage: Eukaryota; Metazoa; Chordata; Mammalia; Didelphimorphia; Didelphidae.
UUUCUGAUUGGUCGGUAGGCGACGACCGGCAGGGCACCGGUAACGGCGGGGUUUUCAGUUCAAAUGUCUGUGGCAGGCGGGAAAGAGGCGCCCAGAAUAACUGACCGAGGGAACAAGAGCCGGGUCAAGAAUAAAAGAGCUGGAAGAGAGAGACCAAGUCCAGAGGUGAGCCUGUUCAACUGCUGGGCAUCUGGAACAACGAUGGGACCGGAGGACAUCAAGGAUCUUUCCUCCAGCCAGAUGAAGGGCCUCUGGGCCCCGCAGGGAGUUCUGGCUCCUAGCUCAGGGCCUAGAGCCCAGCAGAAGUGAACCUGCCUGGGGGCUGUCUCCUCCCCCCGCCCCCACCCGCCAAGGAUUCUCCCACACCAACACCUGGGAAAGCAGCCCUUUCUCACCUUCCCCUUCAUGUCCAGAAUGAAGACCGCAGAGGCAGACAUGGCGGGAGCUGGGUCUGGGAAGAGCAGGGGCCUUCCUUGGGGCACAGGGAAGGAGACCUUCGGCGCUUCCUCCUUCCUGCAAAAGCAGCGUCACCUCAUCCAGGAAAAGGGAUGGAAGAAUGAAGAACUUGUGUUAGAUUGGUUGAAUGUGGUCUGGAGUAGGCAUCCCGGUGCGUUACUGCAUCAGAAAGGAAUGCUCAUAAUCAACGCGACUGAAAAUGUGAAGAAGAGAAUUGCUGAAAUGGGCAUGGACUUAUAGUUGUUAUUCUGGGAGGAAUGAUUUCACAAUCGUAAGUGUUAGAUGUAGUCAUUAAUAAGCCAGCUCUUUGAGGAAAGAAUAUAAUGAGCGGAUGUUGGCCAGAAACCAUGAAUUUACUCCAUUGAGAAAAAUAAAGAAACCCUUGGUCACUGUAUUAGAGAACUGUAUCAAAACCACUUGGGACAAAAUCUCCACCGAGGCUAUUGUGUUUGGAUUUUUAAAAUGUUGUAUAUCAAACAGUAUGGAUGGUAGUGAAGCUGUUGUUUUGUGGGAAGAAGUGAUGACUCUAAUGAUGUUUCCAGUUUGGGAGAUAAGAAAAUAGAAGAGGAAGGAGAACAUGAUUAAAUAUUGGAAGGUAGUUUCUCACAAAUAGCUAUAAAAGUAAUACAUAAUUAAUAAAAGUAUUAGCAUUAAAACUUCAACUUGUUUUCAGGACCUUGAAAAUGCUUGGAAUAUAAUGGGCCUGUAUUAUUCACAAGUUAAGGGAAAGUUGUAAUUUAAAAAGAGAAAAUAAAAUGGGUAUUUCCUCUUUCUGAGUUACUCUUCAAAAUCCUUGGGUUGGCACUAUAUUUGGGGUCAUACUAUAUUUGGGCUAAUACAAUAAAAAUUUUUUAGAAAUGGACAAUCUUAUAAAACCAAAAGCCUAAAACACACAUACCCAAAUAAACAAGUGAUAAAUCAUAUGUUUUCAUCUGCAUUUCUACUUCCAAUAGUUUUUUCUCUGGAGGUGGAAAGCAUUCCUUCUCAUAAGUUUAUCAGAAUUGUCUUGGGGAGGCAGCUGUAUAGCUCAGUGAAUCGAGAGCCAGGCCUAGAGAUGGGAGGUCCUGGGUUCAAAUCUGGCCUCAGACACUUCCUAGCUGUGUGACCCUGGGCAAGUCACUUAACUCCCAUUGCCUAGCCCAUAUCACUCUUCUGCCUUGGAACCAAUACACAGUAUUAAUUCCAAGAUGGAAGGUAAGGGUUUAAAAAAAAAAAAAGAAUUGUCUUGCAUCAUUGCUGAGACUAGCAAAGUCUAUCAUAUUUGAUCGUUCCAUAAUAUUUCAGUUACUGUGCAUCAUUUUCUCCUGGUUCUCUUUAUUUCACUCUGCAUCAGUUCAUGAAGGUCUUUCCAAUUCUUUCUGAAAUUGUCUUCUUCAUCAUUCCUUAUAGUACUACCAUAUUCCAUCACCAUCAUAUACUACAACUUACUCAGCCAUUCCCCAAUUGAGGGACAUCCCUUUUGUUUCUAAUUCUUUGCCACCACAAAAAGAGCAGAUAUAAUUUUUUUUUUGCAAGCAAGUCCUUUCCCAUGAUUUUUUUUUCCUCUUUGGGAUACAGACUUACUAGUGUGUAUUACUGGAUUAAAGGAUAUCCUUAAAAAAACCCAACCUGUUCCCUUCCAUCUUAGAAUCAAUACUGGGAAUUGGUUCCAAGGCAGAAGAGUGGUAAGGGCUAGGCAAUGGGGGUCAAGUGACUUGCCCAGUGUCACACAGCUAAGAAAUGUCUGAGGCCAGAUUUGAAUCUAGGACUUCCUGUCUUCAGGCCUGUCUCUCAAUCCACUGGGUCCCCCAACUGCUCCCUGCAUUGUUUUGUAGUCUGUAGUUUUAUAGCAUAAUUCUAAGUUUCCCUCCAGAAUGAUUGGAUUGGUUCACAACUCUACCAGCAAUGCAUUAGUGUCCCAAUUUUGCCACAUUGCACAGUACAUUUCUGAGAUGAAAUUCAAAACUAACUCUUCCUGUUACCAACUUCUUCACACUAUAGCCAUGAUGCUAUGUCAUUCCAUGGUUUACAAUUGCCACUGACCCUCACCCAGACAUUACAGUAAGACUUUAACAAAUGUUUAUUGACUGACUCUUAACCAGAUAGAUUUUUUGUGUUGGAGAGUAGUUUGAGAUCAUAAUGAGUUAUGCAUAAGUCUGCAGAUGCAAUCUUGCCCAUUCUUUUCCUAUUUCUUUGUGUCCAUCUAACUUCAUCUACAGUGCCUGUCCAGAGCAGAUGCACUGAUGGACUUACUCAAUGGUUGUCCCAUAUGGGUGCACUCAUCAGUCUAGGUAAUAUUAGAAAUUGUUAUAAUUAGAAUGAUCUUGAAAGACUGAUUUUGGGGGCUAACAAUAUAAGUUUAUUGAUUACAUCAGUUUUAUUGAUUAAACCAACAUCAACUGGAGCUGGAUCAGACAGUCUAAUAAAUAGAUUUUUAGGAGCUCAUUAUUCAGUCCCUCCACUGACCAUCCCAUGACAUCUUUAAUUGGUGAUAACUAAUUAAAAAGUGGUCCAUCAACCUAUCCACUCCUCUCUGUCCCCACAAGCAGACAGGUCACACAGGCCAGAAAAGAACCUACCAAAUUCUGUUAAAAAGGAAGGCAUUCUUUGAAAUUCUCAAGGACUAAGAAAAUGCAAAAAGCAACAGACCAAAUGGUAUCUCUGACCCAGAUCCCAGACGUAGGAAUACACAGUCUUUCUCCCUAAUAUAUAGGAAUUAAUACAGUAUAUGAAAAAUAAAUUCUCAUACAAUAAAGUGGGAACAAUAUUGGUUGGGUAGAAAUAGCAUAUCGGUGAAGGGGAGUUUACAUUCAAUGACUUUGUUAGUGUAAUGUGAAUAGGUAUAGCCUUGGCUCAGGACAAGUGCCCUAAUUCUGGGUCUGUUCUGUUUUUUGGGUUCCAGUCUAGUCAUGCUUCAUCCAGAACCUAGGGAUAAGUAAUCAUAGGAUCAUGCAUUUAGAGCUGGAAGAGGCUAUUUUGAUUCAAUACUUUCAGUUUUACAGAUGGGAAAACUAAGGCCCAAAGAAAUUACGUUAAUCAGAGCCAAGAUCACAGAAUAAGUGGCAGAGGCAAGAUCCUACCCCAGGUCCUCUGAGUUUAAACACUCUUUCCCCUCAUCAAGAGUCAUCCCUUGUCUCUCAGGUAGAUUAUUUCACCUGCUUCUCCCCAGCACAAUCUUUCUUCCAUAUCAAGCCACCUUCCUUUGUUCUUCCCUCCAAGCUCAAGUGAAGAGCCAUCCAUUCUAAAAAGUCUUCCUAGGGGCAGCUAGGUGGUUCAGUGGAUUGAGAUCCAGGCCUAGAGAUGGGGGGGGGUCUUGGGUCCAAAUCUGGCAUCAAACACUACCUAACUGUGUGACUGUGAGAAAGUAAUUUAAUCCCCAUUGCCUAAUUCUUACUACUCUUUUGCCUUGGAAUCAAUAUACAUUAUUGAUUCUGAGACUGAAGGUAAGGGUUAAAAAAAAAAGACUUCCCAGAUUAUUUGUAAAUGAGGGAUGGAUUUAUGAAUUAAUCUUUAGAGUCAGAAGGAACCUUAGAUAUAAUUUUUUUCAUUUCAUUAAUAUUUUACAUAAGUCAAUUUUUAAUAAUUGUUUUCUGCCAUUUUGCUAUCCAUGUUCCCACUCUCCCUUCCUCUCCUCCCCACUCUUUUGAUAGCAGGUAAUAUGAUCUGGUUAAUGCAUAUGUGAUAAUCCAAUGCAUAUUUCUCCAUUUGUCCUGUUUUGAAAGAAGACACAUAUCACUUAUAUAAUAAAAAACUCAAGGAGAUAAAGUGAAAAUAGUCUCCUUCAA